This 44-nucleotide transfer RNA is filed under the name Cervus nippon (sika deer). Its description in RNAcentral is "partial tRNA-Pro". The record is from RNAcentral. Lineage: Eukaryota; Metazoa; Chordata; Mammalia; Artiodactyla; Cervidae.
GUCAGGGAAUAGUUUAAAUAGAACUUCAGCUUUGGGUGUUGAUA